GAUGAACGCUGGCGGCGUGCUUAACACAUGCAAGUCGAACGAUGAAGCCCAGCUUGCUGGGUGGAUUAGUGGCGAACGGGUGAGUAACACGUGAGUAACCUGCCCUUAACUCUGGGAUAAGCCUGGGAAACUGGGUCUAAUACCGGAUAGGAGCGCCUACCGCAUGGUGGGUGUUGGAAAGAUUUAUCGGUUUUGGAUGGACUCGCGGCCUAUCAGCUUGUUGGUGAGGUAAUGGCUCACCAAGGCGACGACGGGUAGCCGGCCUGAGAGGGUGACCGGCCACACUGGGACUGAGACACGGCCCAGACUCCUACGGGAGGCAGCAGUGGGGAAUAUUGCACAAUGGGCGAAAGCCUGAUGCAGCGACGCCGCGUGAGGGAUGACGGCCUUCGGGUUGUAAACCUCUUUCAGUAGGGAAGAAGCGAAAGUGACGGUACCUGCAGAAGAAGCACCGGCUAACUACGUGCCAGCAGCCGCGGUAAUACGUAGGGUGCGAGCGUUAUCCGGAAUUAUUGGGCGUAAAGAGCUCGUAGGCGGUUUGUCGCGUCUGUCGUGAAAGUCCGGGGCUUAACCCCGGAUCUGCGGUGGGUACGGGCAGACUAGAGUGCAGUAGGGGAGACUGGAAUUCCUGGUGUAGCGGUGGAAUGCGCAGAUAUCAGGAGGAACACCGAUGGCGAAGGCAGGUCUCUGGGCUGUAACUGACGCUGAGGAGCGAAAGCAUGGGGAGCGAACAGGAUUAGAUACCCUGGUAGUCCAUGCCGUAAACGUUGGGCACUAGGUGUGGGGACCAUUCCACGGUUUCCGCGCCGCAGCUAACGCAUUAAGUGCCCCGCCUGGGGAGUACGGCCGCAAGGCUAAAACUCAAAGGAAUUGACGGGGGCCCGCACAAGCGGCGGAGCAUGCGGAUUAAUUCGAUGCAACGCGAAGAACCUUACCAAGGCUUGACAUGUUCCCGAUCGCCGUAGAGAUACGGUUUCCCCUUUGGGGCGGGUUCACAGGUGGUGCAUGGUUGUCGUCAGCUCGUGUCGUGAGAUGUUGGGUUAAGUCCCGCAACGAGCGCAACCCUCGUUCCAUGUUGCCAGCACGUAAUGGUGGGGGCUCAUGGGAGACUGCCGGGGUCAACUCGGAGGAAGGUGAGGACGACGUCAAAUCAUCAUGCCCCUUAUGUCUUGGGCUUCACGCAUGCUACAAUGGCCGGUACAAUGGGUUGCGAUACUGUGAGGUGGAGCUAAUCCCAAAAAGCCGGUCUCAGUUCGGAUUGGGGUCUGCAACUCGACCCCAUGAAGUCGGAGUCGCUAGUAAUCGCAGAUCAGCAACGCUGCGGUGAAUACGUUCCCGGGCCU
Molecule: ribosomal RNA, 1343 nt
Filed under: uncultured bacterium
Lineage: Bacteria
Description: bacterial SSU rRNA
Rfam family: Bacterial small subunit ribosomal RNA
Source: RNAcentral